Molecule: transfer RNA, 88 nt
Filed under: Acidiferrobacter sp.
Lineage: Bacteria; Pseudomonadati; Pseudomonadota; Gammaproteobacteria; Acidiferrobacterales; Acidiferrobacteraceae
Also listed under: 6 other names
Description: tRNA-Ser
Rfam family: tRNA
About the family: Transfer RNA (tRNA) molecules are approximately 80 nucleotides in length. Their secondary structure includes four short double-helical elements and three loops (D, anti-codon, and T loops).
Source: RNAcentral
GGAGAGGUGGCAGAGUGGUCGAAUGCGGCGGUCUUGAAAACCGUUGUACCGCAAGGUACCGGGGGUUCGAAUCCCUCCCUCUCCGCCA